Molecule: ribosomal RNA, 570 nt
Filed under: uncultured bacterium
Lineage: Bacteria
Description: bacterial SSU rRNA
Rfam family: Bacterial small subunit ribosomal RNA
Source: RNAcentral
AGUGGCAGACGGGUGAGUAACACGUGGGAACAUACCUUUUGGUUCGGAACAACUGAGGGAAACUUCAGCUAAAACCGGAUAAGCCCCGAGGGGGAAAGAUUUAUCGCCAUUAGAUUGGCCCGCGUCCGAUUAGCUAGUUGGUGGGGUAAAGGCCUACCAAGGCGACGAUCGGUAGCUGUUCUGAGAGGAAGAUCAGCCACACUGGGACUGAGACACGGCCCAGACUCCUACGGGAGGCAGCAGUGGGGAAUAUUGGACAAUGGGCGCAAGCCUGAUCCAGCCAUGCCGCGUGGAUGAAGAAGGCCCUAGGGUUGUAAAGUCCUUUCGGUGGUGAAGAUAAUGACGGUAACCACAGAAGAAGCCCCGGCUAAUUUCGUGCCAGCAGCCGCGGUAAUACGAAAGGGGCUAGCGUUGUUCGGAAUUACUGGGCGUAAAGCGCACGUAGGCGGCAUUGUAAGAUGGGGGUGAAAUCCCCGGGCUCAACCCGGGAACUGCCUUCAUGACUGCAAAGCUCGAGGAUGCGAGAGGUGAGUGGAAUUCCGAGUGUAGAGGUGAAAUUCGUAGAUAUUC